This 610-nucleotide unclassified non-coding RNA is filed under the name Athalia rosae (coleseed sawfly). RNAcentral describes it as "misc RNA ENSAEAG00005002898.1". The record is from RNAcentral. Lineage: Eukaryota; Metazoa; Arthropoda; Insecta; Hymenoptera; Athaliidae.
CUCAUUGUCAGUUGAAUUCGCGAAACCAGAGCGAAACUGUUGAAUAUUAUGGUGUUGAUUAAAACAUUGACUGAAGAUUUGUACUAAAUAUAUUUAUGUUAAUCAGAUGGAUGAUCAUCGAGUUGCAAAAAGGAGUUGAACUAAUCAGCAAUUACUGACCGAAGUUUGUUCUUCUUAAGGGCGAUGCAGUCAAGACUUGUGAUGUGAUUAGACACAACAGGAGAAAGCACUGUAGAGUUUUCGACAAUAUCUCAUGCACAAGCAACGUAUCCGCUCGCUGGACCCUCAAGUUAUGUCAACGCCAGAUACGAUAUACAGUCCUUGCGCACGCGAGAAGAGGAGCACGCGAAAAAUGAAUAUUUGAAUCAAUUUUCUGCCCUGCAUCCUGAUUUAAAGGAGAGUGAAAGGCCGAUCAAAGAUCCCAACCCAUUAAAUCCACCUCAAAGUACGCGAUCAUUGGCCGAAGAUUUGUCGGAGAUUGCAUCGAUGAAAAAAAAUCUCAAUACGAAAUCGAAAAACGGGAGAGGAACUGGUAAACACAACUCCAACGUCUAUGUCACUGUCUCUGGUACUUCCAAAGAAUUAUCAACCCGCGUUUUGAACGAUGAAG